CAACCCCAUCCAGCCGUUGAAACUGGGGAUCUAGAGUGUGCGAGAGGUAUGCGGAAUGCGUGGUGUAGCGGUGAAAUGCAUAGAUAUCACGCAGAACCCCGAUUGCGAAGGCAGCAUACCGGUGCACAACUGACGCUCAGGCACGAAAGCGUGGGUAUCGAACAGGAUUAGAUACCCUGGUAGUCCACGCAGUAAACGAUGAAUGCUACCUGUUUGGCCAGAUUGAUGGCUGAGCGGGACAGCGAAAGCGUUAAGCAUUCCACCUGGGGAGUACGCCGGCAACGGUGAAACUCAAAGGAAUUGACGGGGGCCCGCACAAGCGGAGGAACAUGUGGUUUAAUUCGAUGAUACGCGAGGAACCUUACCCGGGCUCAAACGCAUAAUGACGACAGUUGAAAGAUUGUUUCCCUUCGGGGCAUUAUGCGAGGUGCUGCAUGGUUGUCGUCAGCUCGUGCCGUGAGGUGUCGGCUUAAGUGCCAUAACGAGCGCAACCCCUAUCGACAGUUGCUAACGAGUCGAGUCGAGGACUCUGUCGAGACUGCCGGCGCAAGCUGUGAGGAAGGCGGGGAUGACGUCAAAUCAGCACGGCCCUUACGUCCGGGGCGACACACGUGUUACAAUGGCAGGGACAGCGGGAAGCCACCAAGCGAUUGGGCGCGGAACCCGAAACCCUGUCUCAGUUCGGAUUGGAGUCUGCAACUCGACUCCAUGAAGCUGGAUUCGCUAGUAAUCGCGCAUCAGCCAUGGCGCGGUGAAUACGUUCCCGGGCCUUGUACACACCGCCCGUCAAGCCAUGGGAGUCGGGAGUGCCUGAAGUUCGUGACCGUUUAGGAGCGACCUAGGGCAAGACUGAUGACUGGGGCUAAGUCGUAACAAGGUAACCGUAA
RNAcentral lists this ribosomal RNA (887 nucleotides) under uncultured bacterium. Its description in RNAcentral is "bacterial SSU rRNA". It matches the Rfam family "Bacterial small subunit ribosomal RNA", at positions 610 to 1505 of the family's 1533-position model. The record is from RNAcentral.